UACGUAGGGUGCGAGCGUUAAUCGGAAUUACUGGGCGUAAAGUGUGCGCAGGCGGCCGCGCAAGUCGAGUGUGAAAUCCCCGAGCUUAACUUGGGAAUUGCGCUCGAAACUACGUGGCUGGAGUGUGGCAGAGGAAGGUGGAAUUCCACGUGUAGCGGUGAAAUGCGUAGAGAUGGGGAGGAACACCGAUGGCGAAGGCAGCCUUCUGGGCCAACACUGACGCUCAUGCACGAAAGCGUGGGGAGCAAACAGG
Molecule: ribosomal RNA, 253 nt
Filed under: uncultured bacterium
Lineage: Bacteria
Description: partial 16S ribosomal RNA
Rfam family: Bacterial small subunit ribosomal RNA
Source: RNAcentral